AGUGAACGCUGGCGGUAGGCCUAACACAUGCAAGUCGAACGGCAGCACAGUAAGAGCUUGCUCUUACGGGUGGCGAGUGGCGGACGGGUGAGGAAUACAUCGGAAUCUACUUUUUCGUGGGGGAUAACGUAGGGAAACUUACGCUAAUACCGCAUACGACCUACGGGUGAAAGCAGGGGAUCUUCGGACCUUGCGCGAUUGAAUGAGCCGAUGUCGGAUUAGCUAGUUGGCGGGUUAAAGGCCCACCAAGGCGACGAUCCGUAGCUGGUCUGAGAGGAUGAUCAGCAACACUGGAACUGAGACACGGUCCAGACUCCUACGGGAGGCAGCAGUGGGGAAUAUUGGACAAUGGGCGCAAUCCUGAUCCAGCCAUACCGCGUGGGUGAAGAAGGCCUUCGGGUUGUAAAGCCCUUUUGUUGGGAAAGAAAAGCAGCAGGUUAAUACCCCGCUGUUCUGACGGUACCCAAAGAAUAAGCACCGGCUAACUUCGUG
This 492-nucleotide ribosomal RNA is filed under the name uncultured bacterium. RNAcentral's name for it is "partial 16S ribosomal RNA". It matches the Rfam family "Bacterial small subunit ribosomal RNA", at positions 29 to 507 of the family's 1533-position model. The record is from RNAcentral.